GACGAACGCUGGCGGCGUGCUUAACACAUGCAAGUCGAACGGAAAGGCCCUGCUUUUGUGGGGUGCUCGAGUGGCGAACGGGUGAGUAACACGUGAGUAACCUGCCCUUGACUUUGGGAUAACUUCAGGAAACUGGGGCUAAUACCGGAUAGGAGCUCCUGCUGCACGGUGGGGGUUGGAAAGUUUCGGCGGUUGGGGAUGGACUAGCGGCUUAUCAGCUUGUUUGUGGGGUAGUGGCUUACCAAGGCUUUGACGGGUAGCCGGCCUGAGAGGGUGAACGGGCACAAUGGUACUGCGGUACGGCGCAGACUGCUACGGGAGGCAGUAGUGGGGAAUAUUGCACAAUGGGCGGAAGCCUGAUACGACAACGCCGCGUGCGGGAUGACGGCCUUCGGGGUAUAAACCGCUUUCGCCUGUGACAAAGCGUGAGUGACGGUAAUGGGUAAAGAAGCACCGGCUAACUACGUG
This 468-nucleotide ribosomal RNA is filed under the name uncultured bacterium. Its description in RNAcentral is "partial 16S ribosomal RNA". It matches the Rfam family "Bacterial small subunit ribosomal RNA", at positions 28 to 507 of the family's 1533-position model. The record is from RNAcentral.